RNAcentral lists this ribosomal RNA (76 nucleotides) under Vibrio alginolyticus. Its description in RNAcentral is "partial 16S ribosomal RNA". It matches the Rfam family "Bacterial small subunit ribosomal RNA", at positions 1 to 76 of the family's 1533-position model. RNAcentral also lists the same sequence under 3 other names. Lineage: Bacteria; Pseudomonadati; Pseudomonadota; Gammaproteobacteria; Vibrionales; Vibrionaceae. The record is from RNAcentral.
AAAUUGAAGAGUUUGAUCAUGGCUCAGAUUGAACGCUGGCGGCAGGCCUAACACAUGCAAGUCGAGCGGAAACGAG